RNAcentral lists this ribosomal RNA (222 nucleotides) under uncultured fungus. RNAcentral describes it as "partial small subunit ribosomal RNA". The stretch from base 95 to 222 matches the Rfam family "Eukaryotic small subunit ribosomal RNA", at positions 736 to 864 of the family's 1831-position model. Lineage: Eukaryota; Fungi. The record is from RNAcentral.
GGCGGGGGCGGCUGGUUGGGCCUGUCAAGGGUCUGUACUGAUGCUGGCUCCCGUCAUCCUCGGGGAGAGCGGCUCUGGCAUUAAGUUGUUGGGGUCGGGAUCCUCGUCUUUUACUGUGAAAAAAUUAGAGUGUUCAAAGCAGGCUUAGGCCCUGAAUACAUUAGCAUGGAAUAAUAAGAUAUGACCUUGGUGGUCUAUUUUGUUGGUUUGCACGCCAAGGUA